Molecule: ribosomal RNA, 468 nt
Filed under: uncultured bacterium
Lineage: Bacteria
Description: partial 16S ribosomal RNA
Rfam family: Bacterial small subunit ribosomal RNA
Source: RNAcentral
GACGAACGCUGGCGGCGUGCUUAACACAUGCAAGUCGAACGGAAAGGCCCUGCUUUUGUGGGGUGCUCGAGUGGCGAACGGGUGAGUAACACGUGAGUAACCUGCCCUAGACUUUGGGAUCACUUCAGGAAACUGGGGCUAAUACCGGAUAGGAGCUCCUGCUGCAUGGUGGGGGUUGGAAAGUUUCGGCUGUUGGGGAUGGACUCGCGGCUUAUCAGCUUGUUGGUGGGGUAGUGGCUUACCAAGGCUUUGACGGGUAGCCGGCCUGAGAGGGUGACCGGCCACAUUGGGACUGAGAUACGGCCCAGACUCCUACGGGAGGCAGCAGUGGGGAAUAUUGCACAAUGGGCGGAAGCCUGAUGCAGCAACGCCGCGUGCGGGAUGACGGCCUUCGGGUUGUAAACCGCUUUCGCCUGUGACGAAGCGUGAGUGACGGUAAUGGGUAAAGAAGCACCGGCUAACUACGUG